This 481-nucleotide ribosomal RNA is filed under the name uncultured bacterium. Its description in RNAcentral is "bacterial SSU rRNA". It matches the Rfam family "Bacterial small subunit ribosomal RNA", at positions 501 to 985 of the family's 1533-position model. The record is from RNAcentral.
CUACGUGCCAGCAGCCGCGGUAAUACGGAAGGUCCGGGCGUUAUCCGGAUUUAUUGGGUUUAAAGGGAGCGUAGGCCGGAGAUUAAGCGUGUUGUGAAAUGUAGACGCUCAACGUCUGACUUGCAGCGCAUACUGGUUUCCUUGAGUACGCACAACGUUGGCGGAAUUCGUCGUGUAGCGGUGAAAUGCUUAGAUAUGACGAAGAACUCCGAUUGCGAAGGCAGCUGACGGGAGCGCAACUGACGCUUAAGCUCGAAGGUGCGGGUAUCGAACAGGAUUAGAUACCCUGGUAGUCCGCACAGUAAACGAUGGAUGCCCGCUGUUGGUACCUGGUAUCAGCGGCUAAGCGAAAGCAUUAAGCAUCCCACCUGGGGAGUACGCCGGCAACGGUGAAACUCAAAGGAAUUGACGGGGGCCCGCACAAGCGGAGGAACAUGUGGUUUAAUUCGAUGAUACGCGAGGAACCUUACCCGGGCUUGAA